GAUGAAGAACGUAGCGAAAUGGGAUAAGUAAUGUGAAUUGCAGAAUUCAGUGAAUCAUCGAAUCUUUGAACGCACAUUGCGCCCGCCAGUAUUCUGGCGGGCAUGCCUGUUCGAGCGUCAUUUCAACCAUCAAGCCCCCGGCUUGUGUUGGGGACCUGCGGCUGCCGCAGGCCCUGAAAACCAGUGGCGGGCUCGCUAGUCACUCCGAGCGUAGUAAUACAUCUCGCUCAGGGCGUGCUGCGGGUUCCGGCCGUUAAAAAGCCUUAUUUACCCAAGGUUGACCUCGGAUCAGGUAGGAAGACCCGCUGAACUUAAGCAUAUCAAUAAGCGGAGGA
This 335-nucleotide unclassified non-coding RNA is filed under the name soil metagenome. RNAcentral's name for it is "partial contains 5.8S ribosomal RNA, internal transcribed spacer 2, and large subunit ribosomal RNA". The stretch from base 1 to 120 matches the Rfam family "5.8S ribosomal RNA", at positions 35 to 154 of the family's 154-position model. The record is from RNAcentral.